Acomys russatus (golden spiny mouse) is the source of this 132-nucleotide small nucleolar RNA. RefSeq annotates it as small nucleolar RNA SNORA17. The transcript has a single exon. The record is from RefSeq and is a predicted model, not a curated record. NCBI's taxonomy places the organism in Eukaryota, Metazoa, Chordata, Mammalia, Rodentia, Muridae.
CCUGCCCCUAAAAGCUUUGUAGAUGUGGCUGCUGUGCCACAUGUACAUCAGUAGGUGGCAACCUGGAAAGGGGUUAUGUCUAUGCUAAGUGUUCUAACCUAUAAACAUCUGAAUGAUUAAUAACCUAACAUU